RNAcentral lists this transfer RNA (72 nucleotides) under Blyttiomyces helicus. It matches the Rfam family "tRNA". Rfam says of the family: Transfer RNA (tRNA) molecules are approximately 80 nucleotides in length. Their secondary structure includes four short double-helical elements and three loops (D, anti-codon, and T loops). Further hydrogen bonds mediate the characteristic L-shaped molecular structure. tRNAs have two regions of fundamental functional importance: the anti-codon, which is responsible for specific mRNA codon recognition, and the 3' end, to which the tRNAs corresponding amino acid is attached (by aminoacyl-tRNA synthetases). tRNAs cope with the degeneracy of the genetic code in two manners: having more than one tRNA (with a specific anti-codon) for a particular amino acid; and 'wobble' base-pairing, i.e. permitting non-standard base-pairing at the 3rd anti-codon position. Lineage: Eukaryota; Fungi; Chytridiomycota; Chytridiomycetes. The record is from Rfam by way of RNAcentral.
GCUCGCAUGGUCUAGUGGUAUGACGUCUCCUUCACACGGACAAGGUCCUCAGUUCGAUCCUGAGUGCGAGCA